This 253-nucleotide ribosomal RNA is filed under the name uncultured bacterium. RNAcentral's name for it is "partial 16S ribosomal RNA". It matches the Rfam family "Bacterial small subunit ribosomal RNA", at positions 524 to 776 of the family's 1533-position model. The record is from RNAcentral.
UACGGAGGAUGCAAGCGUUAUCCGGAUUCAUUGGGUUUAAAGGGUGCGUAGGCGGCUUUUUAAGUCAGUGGUGAAAUCCUGCCGCUUAACGGUAGAAUUGCCAUUGAUACUGCAGAUCUUGAGUACAUUUGAGGUGGGCGGAAUGAGUAGUGUAGCGGUGAAAUGCUUAGAUAUUACUCAGAACACCAAUUGCGAAGGCAGCUCACUAAACUGUAACUGACGCUGAGGCACGAAAGCAUGGGGAGCGAACGGG